Molecule: long non-coding RNA, 830 nt
Organism: Ooceraea biroi (clonal raider ant)
Lineage: Eukaryota; Metazoa; Arthropoda; Insecta; Hymenoptera; Formicidae
Source: RefSeq, a predicted model, not a curated record
CUCGAUGCAUUGGACCCCGAUCUCAUUUUAUGUUCUUAUUAUUGCUUUAUCCCUACACCAAGGCUGCGGAACUUCACUAUCACGAAUGACUCGCUUUUGCUUAUGCCGAUUUCGAGAAAGAUUUAUUAUUUUACAUUCAGGUGCUUUUUUGUGCUUCGUGUCACGCCAUACUUAAUUAAUACUACUAUUAAGCGCUGAAUAAGAAACUUUAUUUCAGAUUGGUCUGCUCUUGAGAUCUUAUAAUGUUCACUUUUUUACAAUCCUGUAAUACAUAUUUUUAACAUUAUAUUUCUCUAUGACUUGCCUGUAUGUGUAAGUUUAAAUAUGGUUAAGGUACAUAAGUGAUUGCCAGUUAAUUAUAAUUACGAUUAAGCAAUCUGUCAUACCUACAUUGCAUUUAACAUGAAACAAAGGAUAAUUUUUUCAAUACCAGAGAUUUUACAUCAUGAAAAACAUAGAAGAAAGAGAGAGAUUGCAGAAAUGUUCCUUAUCAAAAAAUAUAAUAGAUCUAUUAAGCUUCAAACUGACACUGACAACUUACCAGAUAUUUACAACAUUGUUAGAAUCACAUAAACAGACUGGCAUUUUAUUGUCUGUUUUCAUGAUUCACUGACUUGCUUUUCGGAAGAUCUUUUCUUCCUGAACCUACUUUUAUUAACAUCAUAAUAUGAUUGAUAUAUUUGUAACAUUUUAUAGAUAAUGACUUUAUGUUACCACUAUUGUCAUAUCUAUCGAAAGUGUUAAUUAUUGCCACCUGAGGAGGACCAAAACCAAUGGUCGAAACGUCGUGUACAUUGUUUUGAAUUAAAUACAUUGCCAUUCAGGUCGAA